ACGACCUUACUUGAACAGGAUCUGUUCUAUAGGCUCGUACCUCUGUAUUCUUGAUUCCUAAGAAGACAGAAACCCAUGUCUGGUUGAUGAACCAGGACCAUGUAACCAGAGCGUGAUUAACAGAGUCCAUGGUCUUGACCAUGGCUCAGUAGAGGAUCGUUGUCAGUCCAUCUUCUCUUGGGCAUUGACAUGGUUACAUGGUUGUCUGACAGACA
Molecule: small nucleolar RNA, 215 nt
Filed under: Helianthus annuus (common sunflower)
Lineage: Eukaryota; Viridiplantae; Streptophyta; Magnoliopsida; Asterales; Asteraceae
Description: Plant small nucleolar RNA U3
Rfam family: Plant small nucleolar RNA U3
About the family: Small nucleolar RNAs (snoRNAs) are involved in the processing and modification of rRNA in the nucleolus. There are two main classes of snoRNAs: the box C/D class, and the box H/ACA class.
Source: RNAcentral